RNAcentral lists this transfer RNA (72 nucleotides) under Camelus bactrianus (Bactrian camel). It matches the Rfam family "tRNA". Rfam says of the family: Transfer RNA (tRNA) molecules are approximately 80 nucleotides in length. Their secondary structure includes four short double-helical elements and three loops (D, anti-codon, and T loops). Further hydrogen bonds mediate the characteristic L-shaped molecular structure. tRNAs have two regions of fundamental functional importance: the anti-codon, which is responsible for specific mRNA codon recognition, and the 3' end, to which the tRNAs corresponding amino acid is attached (by aminoacyl-tRNA synthetases). tRNAs cope with the degeneracy of the genetic code in two manners: having more than one tRNA (with a specific anti-codon) for a particular amino acid; and 'wobble' base-pairing, i.e. permitting non-standard base-pairing at the 3rd anti-codon position. The record is from Rfam by way of RNAcentral. Lineage: Eukaryota; Metazoa; Chordata; Mammalia; Artiodactyla; Camelidae. RNAcentral also lists the same sequence under 2 other names.
GAGGGUAUAGCUCAGUGGUGGAGUGCAUGCUUAGCACACACAAGGGCCUGGGUUCAAUUCCCAGUACCUCUG